This 51-nucleotide ribosomal RNA is filed under the name uncultured bacterium. RNAcentral's name for it is "partial 16S ribosomal RNA". The record is from RNAcentral.
UGAGUAACCUGCCCCUUCUCUUCGGAAUAAGCCGUUAGGAAACGCGUCUAA